Molecule: ribosomal RNA, 858 nt
Filed under: Actinomycetales bacterium AM015
Lineage: Bacteria; Bacillati; Actinomycetota; Actinomycetes; Actinomycetales
Description: bacterial SSU rRNA
Rfam family: Bacterial small subunit ribosomal RNA
Source: RNAcentral
GCUACCAUGCAGUCGAACGAUGAAGCCCUUCGGGGUGGAUUAGUGGCGAACGGGUGAGUAACACGUGGGCAAUCUGCCCUGCACUCUGGGACAAGCCCUGGAAACGGGGUCUAAUACCGGAUAUGACUGUCCACCGCAUGGUGGAUGGUGUAAAGCUCCGGCGGUGCAGGAUGAGCCCGCGGCCUAUCAGCUAGUUGGUGAGGUAGUGGCUCACCAAGGCGACGACGGGUAGCCGGCCUGAGAGGGCGACCGGCCACACUGGGACUGAGACACGGCCCAGACUCCUACGGGAGGCAGCAGUGGGGAAUAUUGCACAAUGGGCGAAAGCCUGAUGCAGCGACGCCGCGUGAGGGAUGACGGCCUUCGGGUUGUAAACCUCUUUCAGCAGGGAAGAAGCGAAAGUGACGGUACCUGCAGAAGAAGCGCCGGCUAACUACGUGCCAGCAGCCGCGGUAAUACGUAGGGCGCAAGCGUUGUCCGGAAUUAUUGGGCGUAAAGAGCUCGUAGGCGGCUUGUCACGUCGGUUGUGAAAGCCCGGGGCUUAACCCCGGGUCUGCAGUCGAUACGGGCAGGCUAGAGUUCGGUAGGGGAGAUCGGAAUUCCUGGUGUAGCGGUGAAAUGCGCAGAUAUCAGGAGGAACACCGGUGGCGAAGGCGGAUCUCUGGGCCGAUACUGACGCUGAGGAGCGAAAGCGUGGGGAGCGAACAGGAUUAGAUACCCUGGUAGUCCACGCCGUAAACGGUGGGCACUAGGUGUGGGCAACAUUCCACGUUGUCCGUGCCGCAGCUAACGCAUUAAGUGCCCCGCCUGGGGAGUACGGCCGCAAGGCUAAAACUCAAAGGAAUUGACGGGGCCCGC